Molecule: long non-coding RNA, 1370 nt
Organism: Syngnathus typhle (broad-nosed pipefish)
Lineage: Eukaryota; Metazoa; Chordata; Actinopteri; Syngnathiformes; Syngnathidae
Exons: 2
Source: RefSeq, a predicted model, not a curated record
UGAACAGUAAAACACGCAGUUACCUCUUCCAUCCACAAGACGGCGACACGAAGCUAGACUUCCUGUUUUUUUCUGUCAUGGCUCAUUUCCGCUUCCGUGUCCUUGGUUGCACUCUGUGGUAUCACGCUGCAAAAGCAUCCAGGAAAAAUGGCAAAAUUAAGUAAAGAGACCAAACAGCGGCUGCAGCAACUGUUCCAGUGUGGACAAUUCGUCAUCUGAUGGGGAUUUAUUCCUACAGUGCUGUACUUGGGCUUCAAACGAGGAGCAGAUCCAGGAAUGCCGGAGCCUUCAGUCUUGACACAUUGAAAACAUUUCCCCCCAAAAUUAACGAAUCUCAUGCCAAAUAAAUAUUUGAUGAUGAGCUGUUAAACUGGUAUCAAAGGGCAAAUGGCCGGUGUUGCAAUGCGUGCGUGUGGAAAGAUACCACUGAAUUGUUGGCAUAAUUCGAGUGAACUGCUGACAAGGGGCGACACUGAUUUGCGUCAUCCACUGCUUCUGUGUCAGCGUUUUCUCUCGUGUCUGUCUGUGCAUUAAAACUGAGAGAUUAGUGGAAUUCAAGUCGACGUUGCAAUGUGAUCAACUGCAAUUUUCAAAACCGCAAAGGCUGCAAUUUGAAAAAGAAAACAUGCGUAUAUUUAUUUAUUGAAUGACUACCAUUUCAGUCAAACUGUUUUCUAAGUUGUAAUUGAGGUAGUGCCCUUUUUUUGUAUUAACUCAUGGUUCAUUUACCUUUAUUGUGGGCAUAAGCAUAACUGAUUUAUGUGUAAUAGAUGAUUAUUGUCAUAAAGUUAAUGUAUCGCUUGUGUUUGGUAAAUAUGUAGAAAGAGAACCUUAAAAAAAAUGGCAGAUUAAGUCAAAAACAACAAUGACAUAUGUAUCGUUGGCUGUUUUUGCUUCGUUUCAGUUUACUUUGGGGUUGAAGAAGGAUGACGUGCACCUGCGUCAACAACCUCCACCCGAAGACCACGACGAGUUGGCCACAUGAAAGUCAAUGUCAGUAUAUGAAGUGUCAAUUUUGUCUGAGAUAUUUAUUUGUUAUUGUUACGACAUUGUCUCGAAGUCUGUUCCAUGUUUUUGUCAAUAAAUGUCUGACAGUAAAGCCCAUAAGUGGCCUUACGAUAUUUCAGUUUUUCAAAUAUAUAUAUACGAUGUAUUUGAAUCUCAUAAAAAGAGAUUUGUCUAGUUCAAUCUAAUAAGUGAAAUUCUCAAAAGACACCUGCCAAAGUGUUAUAAAUCAAGCAGUUCAAUUCACAAGUAAGCAAAUAGUUUUAUUCAUGUUUUAAAAAUACAUUCCGUUUAAAAAAUAAAUAUAAUUAUCAUGCCUUCAAGUAUAAAAACAAUAAUAUGUAAUAAAUAUCUUCUUUAAAUAA